UGGGGAAUAUUGCACAAUGGGCGCAAGCCUGAUGCAGCCAUGCCGCGUGUAUGAAGAAGGCCUUCGGGUUGUAAAGUACUUUCAGUCGGGAGGAAGGUGGUAAGGUUAAUAACCUUAUCAAUUGACGUUACCGACAGAAGAAGCACCGGCUAACUCCGUGCCAGCAGCCGCGGUAAUACGGAGGGUGCAAGCGUUAAUCGGAAUUACUGGGCGUAAAGCGCACGCAGGCGGUUGAUUGAGUCAGAUGUGAAAUCCCCGGGCUUAACCCGGGAAUUGCAUCUGUGACUGGUCAGCUAGAGUCUUGUAGAGGGGGGUAGAAUUCCAUGUGUAGCGGUGAAAUGCGUAGAGAUGUGGAGGAAUACCGGUGGCGAAGGCGGCCCCCUGGACGAAGACUGACGCUCAGGUGCGAAAGCGUGGGGAGCAAACAGG
This 429-nucleotide ribosomal RNA is filed under the name Chloroflexota bacterium. RNAcentral describes it as "Chloroflexi bacterium partial 16S ribosomal RNA". It matches the Rfam family "Bacterial small subunit ribosomal RNA", at positions 355 to 776 of the family's 1533-position model. The record is from RNAcentral. Lineage: Bacteria; Bacillati; Chloroflexota.